RNAcentral lists this ribosomal RNA (497 nucleotides) under uncultured bacterium. RNAcentral describes it as "partial 16S ribosomal RNA". It matches the Rfam family "Bacterial small subunit ribosomal RNA", at positions 28 to 507 of the family's 1533-position model. The record is from RNAcentral.
GAUGAACGCUGGCGGCGUGCCUAAUACAUGCAAGUCGAGCGAACAGACGAGGAGCUUGCUCCUCUGACGUUAGCGGCGGACGGGUGAGUAACACGUGGAUAACCUACCUAUAAGACUGGGAUAACUUCGGGAAACCGGAGCUAAUACCGGAUAAUAUAUUGAACCGCAUGGUUCAAUAGUGAAAUACGGUUUUGCUGUCACUUAUAGAUGGAUCCGCGCCGCAUUAGCUAGUUGGUAAGGUAACGGCUUACCAAGGCAACGAUGCGUAGCCGACCUGAGAGGGUGAUCGGCCACACUGGAACUGGGACACGGUCCAGACUCCUACGGGAGGCAGCAGUAGGGAAUCUUCCGCAAUAGGCGAAAGCCUGACGGAACAACGCCGCGUGAGUGAUGAAGGUCUUCGGAUCGUAAAACUCUGUUAUUAGGGAAGAACAAAUGUGUAAGUAACUAUGCACGUCUUGACGGUACCUAAUCAGAAAGCCACGGCUAACUACGUG